AGCAGCCGCGGUAAUUCCAGCUCCGAUAGCGUAUAUUAAAGUUGUUGCAGUUAAAAAGCUCGUAGUUGAAUUUCGGGAUCAAUGUUUCGGUCAUGCCGUUGGUAUGUACUGAUAUUAUUGGUUUCUCACCUUCUAAAGAACCGUAAUGCCAUUUAUUUGGUGUCGUGGGGAAUCAGGACUGUUACUUUGAAAAAAUUAGAGUGUUUAAAGCAGGCUCACGCUUGAAUACAUUAGCAUGGAAUAAUGAAAUAGGACGUUUGAUUCUAUUUUGUUGGUUUCUAGGAUCGACGUAAUGAUUAAUAGGGAUAGUUGGGGGCAUUAGUAUUCAAUUGUCAGAGGUGAAAUUCUUGGAUUUAUUGAAGACUAACUACUGCGAAAGCAUUUGCCAAGGAUGUUUUCAUUAAUCAAGAACGAAAGUUGGGGGCUCGAAGACGAUCAGAUACCGUCCUAGUCUCAACCAUAAACGAUGCCGACCAGGGAUCGGCGGAUGUUACUUUUAGGACUC
Molecule: ribosomal RNA, 505 nt
Filed under: uncultured Glomeromycotina
Lineage: Eukaryota; Fungi; Glomeromycota
Description: SSU rRNA
Rfam family: Eukaryotic small subunit ribosomal RNA
Source: RNAcentral